GAGAUUAGACGUUCCCUUCGGGGACAUGGAUACAGGUGGUGCAUGCUUGUCGUCAGCUCGUGUCGUGAGAUGUUGGGUUAAGUCCCGCAACGAGCGCAACCCUUAUUAUCAGUUGCCAGCAUUAAGUUGGGCACUCUGGUGAGACUGCCGGUGACAAACCGGAGGAAGGUGGGGAUGACGUCAAAUCAUCAUGCCCCUUAUGACCUGGGCUACACACGUGCUACAAUGGAUGGUACAACGAGUUGCGAACUCGCGAGAGUAAGCUAAUCUCUUA
RNAcentral lists this ribosomal RNA (274 nucleotides) under bacterium L15(2011). RNAcentral's name for it is "partial 16S ribosomal RNA". It matches the Rfam family "Bacterial small subunit ribosomal RNA", at positions 1003 to 1278 of the family's 1533-position model. The record is from RNAcentral.